GAUGAAGAACGUAGCGAAAUGCGAUACGUAAUGUGAAUUGCAGAAUUCAGUGAAUCAUCGAAUCUUUGAACGCAUAUUGCGCUCUUUGGUAUUCCGAAGAGCAUGCUUGUUUGAGUAUCAGUAAACACCUCAACCUCUUCUUGAUUUUUCAAAAGGAGGGUGGACUUGAGCUAUCCCAACAACCUUUACCGGUCGGCGGGCGGCUUGAAAUGCAGGUGCAGCUGGACUUUUAUCUGAGCUAAAAGCAUAUCUAUUUAGUCCUCGUCAAACAGGAUUAUUACUUUUGCUGCAGCUAACAUAAAGGAUAAUUGUCCUCUUUGCUGUCUGAUGCAGGAUUUUACGACACUUUAUGUGUUGUUCAACUCGAUCUCAAAUCAAGUAAGACUACCCGCUGAACUUAAGCAUAUCAAUAAGCGGAGGA
This 421-nucleotide unclassified non-coding RNA is filed under the name soil metagenome. RNAcentral's name for it is "partial contains 5.8S ribosomal RNA, internal transcribed spacer 2, and large subunit ribosomal RNA". The stretch from base 1 to 120 matches the Rfam family "5.8S ribosomal RNA", at positions 35 to 154 of the family's 154-position model. The record is from RNAcentral.